RNAcentral lists this ribosomal RNA (373 nucleotides) under uncultured prokaryote. RNAcentral's name for it is "bacterial SSU rRNA". It matches the Rfam family "Bacterial small subunit ribosomal RNA", at positions 524 to 896 of the family's 1533-position model. The record is from RNAcentral.
UACGUAGGGGGCGAGCGUUAUCCGGAUUUAUUGGGCAUAAAGAGCAUGUAGGCGGUAGUUUAAGUCAGACGUGAAAUAUUGUGGCCUAACCAUAAUAUGCAUUUGAUACUGGAUUACUAGAGAUCGGGAGAGGAAAGUGGAACUCAUGGUGUAGCGGUGAAAUGCGUAGAUAUCAUGAGGAACACCAGUGGCGAAGGCGGCUUUCUGGACCGAUUCUGACGCUGAGAUGCGAAAGCGUGGGGAGCAAACAGGAUUAGAUACCCUGGUAGUCCACGCUGUAAACGGUGUUCACUAGGUGUUGGGGGUGUCGACCCCUCCAGUGCCACAGAUAAUUCGUUAAGUGAACCGCCUGGGGAGUACGGCCGCAAGGUUA